RNAcentral lists this ribosomal RNA (508 nucleotides) under uncultured bacterium. Its description in RNAcentral is "partial 16S ribosomal RNA". It matches the Rfam family "Bacterial small subunit ribosomal RNA", at positions 30 to 523 of the family's 1533-position model. The record is from RNAcentral.
AUUGAACGCUGGCGGCAUGCCUUACACAUGCAAGUCGAACGGCAGCGGGGGAGAAGCUUGCUUUUCCUGCCGGCGAGUGGCGAACGGGUGAGUAAUACAUCGGAACGUGCCCUGUAGUUGGGGAUAACUAGUCGAAAGAUUAGCUAAUACCGCAUACGACCUGAGGGUGAGAGUGGGGUACCGCAAGGCCUCAUGCUAUAGGAGCGGCCGAUGGCUGGAUAGCUAGUUGGUGGGGUAAAGGCCUACCAAGGCGACGAUCAGUAGCUGGUCGGGGAGGACGAUCAGCCACACUGGGACUGAGACACGGCCCAGACUCCUACGGGAGGCAGCAGUGGGGAAUUUUGGACAAUGGGCGAAAGCCUGAUCCAGCAAUGCCGCGUGUGUGAAGAAGGCCUUCGGGUUGUAAAGCACUUUUGUCCGGAAAGAAAUGGCUCUGGUUAAUACCUGGGGUCGAUGACGGUACCGGAAGAAUAAGGACCGGCUAACUACGUGCCAGCCGCCGCGGUAA